CUGCCCCCUUUCGGGCUCUGGCCAAGGAACCGCUGCGUUCAAAGCAGAGAUCCCCGCAAUGAAGUGACAUCUGACUGUUCACGGCGAACUGUGGAGCCUCUCACUUGACAGCAGUAUUUGCAAGCGCGUUUUCUCAACUCUGGCCUGAGGGAAAGCCUGGGUCUGAUCAUUGUAUGUACUCCUGAAUAAUGCGAAAGGAAAUUUCCUGACCUCUCGGGGUUUCUUGCAGCAAGGAAUGAACACAGGAGAAGCUAAGGUGGAGCUGAAUUUCCCUGCUCUUGAGCAUAGGCUGGACUCAGUGAUUCAUAGAACACAACCUGCUAUAACCAGCCUUGCCAAGUGGCCUGUGUCGGGAGGGACCGAAGCCUUCUGUCACCAAGAUCUGGAAGCAGACCCUUCAUUCCCAGUCACAUCUUUAGAGGCGACAUCCUGGCCGACAGCUUGACUACAACCUCACAAGAGACCCUGAGAGAGAACCUACU
This is a long non-coding RNA of Felis catus (domestic cat), 482 nucleotides long. RefSeq lists it as uncharacterized. The record is from RefSeq and is a predicted model, not a curated record. The transcript has 3 exons. NCBI's taxonomy places the organism in Eukaryota, Metazoa, Chordata, Mammalia, Carnivora, Felidae.